This 401-nucleotide ribosomal RNA is filed under the name uncultured bacterium. Its description in RNAcentral is "bacterial SSU rRNA". It matches the Rfam family "Bacterial small subunit ribosomal RNA", at positions 28 to 428 of the family's 1533-position model. The record is from RNAcentral.
AUUGAACGCUGGCGGCAUGCUUUACACAUGCAAGUCGAGCGGCAGCGCGGGGGCAACCCUGGCGGCGAGCGGCGAACGGGUGAGUAAUGCAUCGGAACGUACCCUGGAGUGGGGGAUAACGCCGCGAAAGCGGCGCUAAUACCGCAUAUGCUCUGAGGAGGAAAGUGGGGGACCGCAAGGCCUCACGCUCUGGGAGCGGCCGAUGUCCGAUUAGCUAGUUGGUGGGGUAAAGGCUUACCAAGGCGACGAUCGGUAGCUGGUCUGAGAGGAUGAUCAGCCACACUGGGACUGAGACACGGCCCAGACUCCUACGGGAGGCAGCAGUGGGGAAUUUUUGGACAAAUGGGGGGCAACCCUGAUCCAGCCAUGCCGCGUGAGUGAAGAAGGCCUUCGGGUUGGUU